AUUGAACGCUGGCGGCAGGCCUAACACAUGCAAGUCGAGCGGAGCGGCGGACGGGUGAGUAAUGCCUAGGAAUCUGCCUGGUAGUGGGGGAUAACGUCCGGAAACGGGCGCUAAUACCGCAUACUAUCAGAUGAGCCUAGGUCGGAUUAGCUAGGUGGUGGGGUAAAGUCAUACCAGGGCGACGAUCCGUAACUGGUCGGAGCGGAUGAUCAGUCACACUGGAACGGAUACACGGUCCCGACUCCUACGGGAGGCAGCAGUGGGGAAUAUUGGACAAUGGGCGAAAGGCUGAUACAGCCAUGCCGAGUGUGUGAAGAAGGUCCUCGGAUGGGAAAGCACUUUAAGUUGGGAGGCGUUACCAACAGAAUAAGCACCGGCUAACUACGUGCCAGCAGCCGCGGUAAUAC
Molecule: ribosomal RNA, 407 nt
Filed under: uncultured bacterium
Lineage: Bacteria
Description: partial 16S ribosomal RNA
Rfam family: Bacterial small subunit ribosomal RNA
Source: RNAcentral